CAGAUUUUAUUCUCCCACUUACUUACAAUAAGUGAUUUGCUGUUAAAUCAGCUGAGUCUUU
RNAcentral lists this transfer RNA (61 nucleotides) under Neoalcathous huangshanana. RNAcentral describes it as "tRNA-Val". Lineage: Eukaryota; Metazoa; Arthropoda; Insecta; Hemiptera; Fulgoridae. The record is from RNAcentral.